Long non-coding RNA from Sander lucioperca (pikeperch), 190 nucleotides. RefSeq lists it as uncharacterized. The record is from RefSeq and is a predicted model, not a curated record. The transcript is spliced from 3 exons. NCBI's taxonomy places the organism in Eukaryota, Metazoa, Chordata, Actinopteri, Perciformes, Percidae.
UUUCACUUUAUGAGUUUUUUUAACAUUAAUAUGAGUUCCCCCAGCCUGCCUAAGGUCCCCAAUUGGCUUGAAAUGGUGAUAGGUGUAAACCGAGCCCUGGGUAUCCUGCUCUGCCUUUGAGAAAAUGAAAGCUCAGAUGAGCCGUUCUGGAAUCUUGCUUGUUAUGAGGUCAUAACAAGCAAGGAUACCG